AUGACCUCUUUAACCAUGCUAGUUUUUUGGACAAUUUGAAAUGAGAGGAAUACUAGGAUCUUCCAUGAUAAAUCUGCAUUGCCCAUGAUCCUCUUGCAAGAGAUAAAGAAGGAGACAAAGCUUUGGCUCAUUGCGGGCACUAAACAUUUGAGUAUAAUGAUUUUGAGAGAGUAA
This 174-nucleotide ribosomal RNA is filed under the name Triticum aestivum (bread wheat). Its description in RNAcentral is "partial small subunit ribosomal RNA". The record is from RNAcentral. Lineage: Eukaryota; Viridiplantae; Streptophyta; Magnoliopsida; Poales; Poaceae.